AUCUGGAGAGAGACGCUGUAUUACGAUACGGCGUCCACCGAAGGGGAUAUCCGUUAUCGCGCCAUGCAUUGAGCAAUGGCUCCAGCGGAUCAAGCUCUCAGGUACCGAGACAGAU
RNAcentral lists this non-coding RNA (115 nucleotides) under Bradyrhizobium sp. Its description in RNAcentral is "Glycine sequence". It matches the Rfam family "Glycine riboswitch aptamer", at positions 9 to 86 of the family's 94-position model. Rfam says of the family: This family represents the bacterial glycine riboswitch. Lineage: Bacteria; Pseudomonadati; Pseudomonadota; Alphaproteobacteria; Hyphomicrobiales; Nitrobacteraceae. The record is from RNAcentral. RNAcentral also lists the same sequence under 1 other name.